This 301-nucleotide ribosomal RNA is filed under the name uncultured bacterium. RNAcentral describes it as "partial 16S ribosomal RNA". It matches the Rfam family "Bacterial small subunit ribosomal RNA", at positions 512 to 809 of the family's 1533-position model. The record is from RNAcentral.
CAGUCCGCGGGAAUACGAAGGGGGCUAGCGUUGUUCGGAAUCACUGGGCGUAAAGGGUGCGUAGGCGGAUUCUUAAGUCAGGGGUGAAAUCCCGAGGCUCAACCUCGGAACUGCCUUUGAUACUGGGGAUCUUGAGUCCGGAAGAGGUGAGUGGAACUGCGAGUGUAGAGGUGAAAUUCGUAGAUAUUCGCAAGAACACCGGUGGCGAAGGCGGCUCACUGGUCCGGAACUGACGCUGAGGCACGACAGCGUGGGGAGCAAACAGGAUUAGAUACCCCAGUAGUCCCUGUCUCUUAUACAC